GGGGUUGUAGCUUAGUAGUCGAGCACUUGCCUAGCAUGUAUGAGGCACUAGGUUCAAUUCUCAGCACCA
RNAcentral lists this transfer RNA (69 nucleotides) under Marmota monax (woodchuck). Its description in RNAcentral is "tRNA.Ala". Lineage: Eukaryota; Metazoa; Chordata; Mammalia; Rodentia; Sciuridae. The record is from RNAcentral.